This 253-nucleotide ribosomal RNA is filed under the name uncultured bacterium. Its description in RNAcentral is "partial 16S ribosomal RNA". It matches the Rfam family "Bacterial small subunit ribosomal RNA", at positions 524 to 775 of the family's 1533-position model. The record is from RNAcentral.
UACGAAGGGGGCUAGCGUUGCUCGGAAUCACUGGGCGUAAAGCGCACGUAGGCGGCUUGUUAAGUCAGGGGUGAAAUCCCGGGGCUCAACCCCGGAACUGCCUUUGAUACUGGGUGUCUCGAGUCCGGAAGAGGUGAGUGGAAUUCCGAGUGUAGAGGUGAAAUUCGUAGAUAUUCGGAGGAACACCAGUGGCGAAGGCGGCUCACUGGUCCGGUACUGGACGCUGAGGUGCGAAAGCGUGGGGAGCAACAGG